UUUCAAACCAAAUAUUAAAUAUUAUAAUUUCCAUUAAAGGUUUAUGACCAGAAACUGUCGCUAGAUAAAAUUUCAAAAAAAAAUGCAAUAACUAUUAACAUUAAUGUUCUCAAGGAGAAAAAAAAAACCCUUCAAAUAUUGCAAAAACAAAAAGAAAAAGAAAAAGUCGUCAAGAAUAGAAUUAAAACUUUUGUUUGGAUGCUCUAUUUCAUUUUUGCGGGUAAAGUUAUAUUGAGACUGUAAAGAGUUACUUUAUUCUAAUUGGUUGUGUUGUCAAAGUUACGGAGGAAGAAAUAAAUGAUCUAUGAGAGUUUUGUUUGACGGACGUAAUGAAAUAGUAUGAUAAACUGAAUCCUUAUGAUAAUGGAA
RNAcentral lists this unclassified non-coding RNA (369 nucleotides) under Hevea brasiliensis (rubber tree). Lineage: Eukaryota; Viridiplantae; Streptophyta; Magnoliopsida; Malpighiales; Euphorbiaceae. The record is from RNAcentral.